This is a long non-coding RNA of Hibiscus syriacus, 374 nucleotides long. RefSeq lists it as uncharacterized. NCBI's taxonomy places the organism in Eukaryota, Viridiplantae, Streptophyta, Magnoliopsida, Malvales, Malvaceae. The transcript has 3 exons. The record is from RefSeq and is a predicted model, not a curated record.
ACUCCUUGCCUGUUAAUCUUUUAAAAAGGAUGACCGCUUGAGAGAAUGUCUAAGAUCUCUGAAGCUAGCUUAAAAGGAUGGCAAUGACAGAGUUAAAAGGGCAUUCCAAACCCUGUUGAUUUAUAUCAGAAACGUCGCAAAGAGUCCCGAUGAGGAAAAGUUCAGGAAGAUCCGACUUGGUAACCCGAAGUUCCAGGAAAGGGUUGGGAACUUGAAAGGAGGGAUUGAGUUCCUCGAGCUUUGCGGAUUCGAGAGAAGUGAAGGGAACAAGUUCUUGGUUUCCCCUCGUGAUAAAGUUGAUAUACGGCUGCUUAACUAUGCUGGUUCUUUUGUUAAAUUCUGCAAUGACAAAUCCCUUCUUCGGUCUUCUUGAA